CAAUAGCGUAUAUUUAAGUUGUUGCAGUUAAAAAGCUCGUAGUCGGAUUUUGGCUGAGAACGAUCGGUCCGCCGUUAGGUGUGCACUGAUUGGUCUCAGCUUCCUGGUGAGGAGGUGUGCUUCACGGCAACUUAGUCACCGUGGUUACUUUGAAAAAAUUAGAGUGUUCAAAGCGGGCUUACGCUUGAAUAUAUUAGCAUGGAAUAACACCAUAGGACUCCUGUCCUAUUUCGUUGGUCUCGGGACGGGAGUAAUGAUUAAGAGGAACAGUUGGGGGCAUUCGUAUUUCAUUGUCAGAGGUGAAAUUCUUGGAUUUAUGAAAGACGAACUUCUGCGAAAGCAUUUGCCAAGGAUGUUUUCAUUGA
This 365-nucleotide ribosomal RNA is filed under the name uncultured eukaryote. Its description in RNAcentral is "partial 18S ribosomal RNA". It matches the Rfam family "Eukaryotic small subunit ribosomal RNA", at positions 592 to 976 of the family's 1831-position model. The record is from RNAcentral.